AACGAACGCUGGCGGUAUGCUUAACACAUGCAAGUCGAACGGACUUCAGGUCUUCGGACCGAAAAGUUAGUGGCAAACGGGUGAGUAAUACAGAGGAAUCUACCUAGCAGUACGGAAUAACCCUGGGAAACCAGAGCUAAUACCGUAUAUUACCGAUUUAUCGGGAAAGAUUUAUCGCUGUUAGAUGAGCCUCUGCCGGAUUAGCUUGUUGGUAGGGUAAUGGCCUACCAAGGCAAUGAUCCGUAGCUGGUCUGAGAGGAUGAUCAGCCACACUGGAACUGAGACACGGUCCAGACUCCUACGGGAGGCAGCAGUGGGGAAUAUUGGACAAUGGGCGCAAGCCUGAUCCAGCAAUACCGCGUGAGUGAUGACGGCCUUCGGGUUGUAAAACUCUUUUAGUAGGGAAGAUAAUGACGGUACCUACAGAAAAAGCACCGGCAAACUUCG
This 447-nucleotide ribosomal RNA is filed under the name uncultured Rickettsiales bacterium. Its description in RNAcentral is "bacterial SSU rRNA". It matches the Rfam family "Bacterial small subunit ribosomal RNA", at positions 29 to 505 of the family's 1533-position model. The record is from RNAcentral. Lineage: Bacteria; Pseudomonadati; Pseudomonadota; Alphaproteobacteria; Rickettsiales.